Varanus komodoensis (Komodo dragon) is the source of this 5348-nucleotide long non-coding RNA. RefSeq lists it as uncharacterized. The transcript has 2 exons. The record is from RefSeq and is a predicted model, not a curated record. NCBI's taxonomy places the organism in Eukaryota, Metazoa, Chordata, Lepidosauria, Squamata, Varanidae.
CGUGGGAGCGCGGUUACACGUGACGGGCGCGCGCAGACAGUUGCUCGCGCAAGUGCUUCCCCUCGCUCUUGUCUCUGCCAGCGCUGCAAUUGCCGCAGUGCUGUCAUGGCUGAUUCCGAUCCUCGGGAGCGGCGGACCCUGGUUGUUAAUGGCUGAGAAGAACGCCAGUCCUCUACCCCCCCUCGGCUUUUUUGGGGGGAGUGUAAAAAGGAGAAGGAAGAAAGAUCUUUUACUGGUGCUACAGCCGAGGUCCUAACACUUAAAGAAAUGGAGCAGUUGAAAUGCAAAUACCCAUAAAACAACGGGAAUCUAAUCUAAACUGGAUGUUUUCUAAGGAAAUGUGACAAGCUAGUGGGUUCAAUCAGCAGAAUUACUCAUUCAAAUCUAUUUUGGAGAUGUUGACCAUUGGCCAUAUUCUAGGCUAUCUCCACUCAAGCUCAAGAAGAACUAGCAGUUCCUGGAAUAAUUUGGAACAAGCAGAAACACUUGAUUUUGGAAUGGGUGAGAUCAACACAGCUCUGGGGGGAGGGGUUCUCUAAUCUGUCCCAAUCUGCAAAUGAGCAUUUAUGUAUAUUUCCAGGUUGUUUCUGGAACUGUUCGUGUUAACAGAGUCAUAGCAACAUUAUAGGAUACCCUCCCACACACCCUACUGUGCUCUAUUUGAAUGACUGAAUUGAGAAUACCAAAGCCAGGCUACCACCACAGAGAAGGAAGACCCCAUCUCUUGUUACCACCUGCCCCUCACCCAGUGGCAAUUCCAGCUUUUGAGGUUCUCUUCUCACCAUGGACUCAACCUUUUCAAAACAUAAACAAUUUACUGGCCCUCUUUUUGUAGCCAUGUGCCCUACUUUAACCUAGGGCAGUCCUCUAUCUGAAAGGUUGUCAGAGGAGAAUCCUAUAUUUAAAAGCAUCAUUGGAACGGCUGUCCAAGUUCAGUUUAAAGUUGGAGAAUCAAAAGGAAGCAGGGCAGGGGGCUUUGAAGUUGCUCAUCAGUAUUUACUACCUGGGCAGCAGGUUAAACAGGCACACAGGUCACUUUCCAUGAAAGUGUGAUGUAUUAUAGUCAUUAUUUCUAAAUUUGCAUGGGUACAUAUUAGCUGAUGGCAGUUCUAUGGUAACCACUAUCCUUUUUGCCCCCUCUUUUGGUGAUAUGUAAGUGUUCAUUUAUUCUCCUUUCAUAUUAGUUUCUGCCAUUUCAGUUCUGUCCCAGUCAUUUUGUCCCAAUCAAGUCCUUACGUUGAACUAAGCCUUAGUUCAUCUUUUACUUAUGCUUAGUAAUUGGUAUGUUUCUAAUACAUACAGGAACACAGGUUCUUGUGCUGAUCCCUGGCUCUUAGAAUUAUGAAUUGGCUAUGAUUCCACAUGUUGGACUUCACAUCCAGAAGAUUUUGAACCAAGUUUGGGAAUGGUUUCAUUUCCCUUAGACUGUCUGAGAUGGCUUAGGAGGCUUCUAUAACUGCAGAACAUUCAAACUGUUAGGCUGCUAGGAAGACUGAAUGGCUGCUUAAUUGCCACUAGUUUGUUAUAAUGUAUUCUAUUGAAAUGAAACAUUUCAUUCACAUUUGUGCUGAGUAGGACGUUUAACUUAACAAUCAUCUUGUUGAUGAUUGCCUAAUCAGUGCCAUUAUAAUUUGCUUAGUUAGCUAAUUCUGAUUUAGAUUUGAAACACCACUAGGUCUAUUAUGACUGAUUCCCAGGUUCAUUAUCUUAUGUUAAGGAUUCAUAAGCAAAAUAAAUAUAAAACAGGGAAAAUCGGCAAGAGAUUCCUAUAUUGUUGCUUUUAGGUAUUUCCAGAUGAUUAAAAAUAGAACUACCAUGCUGCAAUAGCAUGAUCCUUAUUCCAACACUUCUACUCAGUAUUCUGACCUCAUGCCAUGGAUGGGAGUAGACUUGCUGCUGGAGGAGAAGGCAGACGAGUGUUGUUGCUUUGGUGCUUUGGCCUCCUCCUUCUAAAAGGGCAGGAUGAGUGCUCCAGGAUUCCUGUACCCCUGCUUUCACGAAUUAUAACAUCCAGUAAAAACUGAGCAUAUUUAGUGCACAUGGCAUGCUUGACUUAUUGUUGAGAAAGGAAAAAUAGGACAAUGUGAGGAUAGACUAAUUAUUCUGAAAUUAAAUAUACUUGGUUGAUUGGAACAGCAGUCCUCUGCCUUGCAGUGCUGUGUUCUAAGCUCCAGUUGUGAUCCCCUAAAAUAGAACUCUUUGUCCCAGGACUGAGAUAUACAGACUUGUUUUUAAUGGAAAUCCCACAGAGCAUCAAGUUGUUAUUUCCUUUAACUGAUCUAUGCUAAAUCCAGUAGAAGAAAGGUAAACCCAGAAUAACUAGUUUGUCUCCAAAGUUGUUGCACAAGCAGAACUGCCCAGAGAACCUCAGCUAUUGAGUGUUAUAAAAAUGAAAUAAAUAAAUAAACACAAUAUUGGUCAUGCAAGGGAAAAGAUCUUCAAUUUUUGUACAUUCCCCCUGGUUUGAUAUAUAUUCUUUGAUACGUGUAUAUAUUUUUGACUGUAUCUAUAUAUUUCAGAGACCUGUGUCUUGUAAGUGCUUCUUUCACUCUAUAAGAAUUUCUGCUUAUCUGGAGAAAGCCAUAAUAUAAAAGAACACAUUUUAAUUUACAUAUUAAAGAAGCAAUCUUCUAUAUGAAAGUAGUAAUCUACUACCUGUACUGUUGUGAGAACGUUAUAAAAGCAAACAGCUUUUCAGAAAACAAAUUAAUUUUUGCAACAGAAUUAUUUGUAGAUCUUUUAGUAUUCUAGCUUAAACCCAGAAGAUGAAAUAUGGCAGAGGUGGGGGAAGCCCCUAUGCUGUUCGUCAGUCAUAACCAAAGGAGGAAGUCAUUGAUUCCAGUUUCUUCACGCUCCUGAAUUGAUGUAUGACCCCAAGCAAGUGAAUCCAACCUUCUGUUUAGCUUACAUCUUUAAAACAAAGACACUGUUCUUCCCAGGGGUAUUGUUAGGGCUGAAGCAGAUAAUAUUUUGAAACAAGUAAGAGUUUUAAAAUUUAAUAUUUAGAAUGUGUCAAUUGCCAAAGAAAAUAUAAGAAGAAAACAUGCUAGCAUGUAAUCCAAACUGAGAGGAAAUAAAUAUAAUCAAAGAAUUUAUUAGGCACAUCUGCUAAACUGCUCAUAGCUAGGCAACCUGUAGCUUAAUUGCUCCUUGUACAGCACUGGAUUUAUGGAUAGUCUUCUGGCCCCAGUAUUGAAAGUAGGAACCCCUGCCUCGGGCACAGAGUUGUACAAGGAACAGAGGUAGCAUAAUUCAGCUGUGUCAAAUUAAUGGUUCUAUCAUGGGACAAAAUAGCAUAAUGAGGGAAGACUAAGGGCAUUAAGGAGAAGUAGACCUUCAGCAGGACAUCCCCUCAGCCUUCAUCUUACAUGCACAGAGAAAUAAUUUCUCUCUCCUCCACCCCACCCCCACCGCAUUCUCAGUGCAAACAGUAGAUAGCUUGGGUAAGAUAUAUGACCUGACGGAACUCUGCAAUGCUUUUGUAAUGUUUCAUUCCUUUCAUAGUUGAAUUGAUUGAUCAAUGGAUGAUCUAAAACAUGAUCUGAUGGCCCUCUGGUCCGUUCCAACUGUGAUUCUAUGGCACACUAGAAACUGAAUAUUUGAGGGAAUUAUGUGUUUUCUUAUUUAUUUGUUAUUAACUUUCUUCCUGGCUUUCAUCCUUUUUCAGGUGGUUUACACUGUCCUUCUUUCCAUUUUAUCCUCAUGAGAACCUGUGAGUUAGGUUGAUUGAGGGUCACUGACCGGCCCAGAGUCAUCCAGUGAGUUUCAUGGCUGAGUGGGGACUAGCAUGAGGAUCUCCCAUUCUAGUCGCAGUGGCUGUUUGGCAGAAAUGAAAAAGAAGUUGGUUUCACACAGGAUAGCUGGGAACCAUCUAAAGAAAGGACUAGAAGGUGGUUCAGGAAUAUAAAUCUGGCCCAUGCAUUUUAACUUAGUAGUAACUGAUAGAUAAUUAUUCCAAUGGAGAUGCACACAGGGCUGCAGUAUAUAUGUAGCAGGAAGAAUCAUUUUACAUUUUGACCCAAAAUACUUUUUGGAAGCAGGUUCUAUAUCCUUUCCCAACCUUAGUGUCUACAACUAAAAACAUACCUGACCCUUGGGUUUCUAAAUGAAGCUAAGUGAUGAACAACUAAAGUAGCGCUAGUUUGGAAUUGCAUUUUGAGCAUUUGUUUUCAUAGACACAUAGUUAUACUGGUGUGUUUUGUUCCUAAUGCCAUGAGGGGCGAUCAAUGAAGUUACCUGAACAGGGAGAUAGAGAUAAUUAAUUGGCUGGGAAAAGUGGUGCAACUCAUUUGCCGAGUUAACUUUAUGGAACAACAUGUAAACAUAAUGUAAUCUUUGCAUUUUCAUGCAAGACUGCAUUAAAUGGUUGAGAAUGAGAGACUCUAGCUCUGCUUAAAUGACAACCACCCUUGUUUAUACAGGGUGGUGCAGGGAAAUGGGAAAUUUUGGAACUAGGAGUUUGCGACCCUGGGGCACUGGCAAUUGUUUGGUACCAGUGUGGCCUCAUUUAGAACCGCUCUCGUAGUUAUAAUGGAGCAGUGGAGUGGUGCAUAACAAGUGUUCACUGUAAAAGCCUUUUAUAAGAAUGGUGAUAGUGUGAAUGCUGUGUAAAGUGAAUUUUGGUGUCAUUACCAGUUAGGACAUCAUGAUCAUGUCCCAGCUGUCAUGUGAUUACAACAUGGGUGCAUAAUUUUGAAGAAACAGUUUCAGCCUUAAAAAAGAAGUCCCCAGGUGGUAUUUGAAUGACAUGCACACCAGAGAAUAUUGAGGCUGUUUGAGCUGCCAUCGUGAGGAGCCUUCACCGCUUCGUUUGACAGCACGCAUCAUCCCUAUAUUUGGGGUGACAAAGCACGCAAAGAAUACUGCACGAAUGGAAGUUCCAUCCCUACAAAUUGCAGAUUGUGCAGGAACUCAAACCCAAUGACCAACAGUCAACAGUUUUGUGAACAAUUGCUGGCAAUCCUCUUGACAUAUUAUGUCAAGCAAUACAGAAUUUCCACAACAGGCUGUCAGAAUGUGUAUGGAGAAAUGAACGACACCUUCAUGAUGUUAUCUUCAAGAUGUAAUAUGAAUAUUGAAUGAAUAUUGAUUACCAUCAUCAACUGCAUAUCCUGUACAAUACAUUUCAUCAUGUAUUUUGUAAUGUGUUUAUUCAUGUAUUCAAUGUCAAUUGAAAAUUUCCCAUUUCCCUGCACACCCUGUAGCGGUCAGAUUCCCUUGGACCUUGUGACUUCUAAUUACUGCCAGAAAUCCUGUAAAAAUGUAGGCCAAAUAAGACCCACAGUUUACAUUUUGUCUACCAAUACUUUGGCUUUGGUCUCUGAUGAAUCAUAAAGAUUACAAUUUAA